This is a small nucleolar RNA of Salvia hispanica, 89 nucleotides long. RefSeq annotates it as small nucleolar RNA snoR114. The record is from RefSeq and is a predicted model, not a curated record. NCBI's taxonomy places the organism in Eukaryota, Viridiplantae, Streptophyta, Magnoliopsida, Lamiales, Lamiaceae.
UUGCGGUGAUGAGUCAUCUGCGCCAUCAGCGAUGGUUGGGUCCAUUGCGCCUUCUGAUUUCAGAAGAUAAAUCCGGUGCAUCUGAGCAA